This 606-nucleotide long non-coding RNA is filed under the name Eutrema salsugineum. Its description in RNAcentral is "long non-coding RNA (ESAL_LNC001551)". Lineage: Eukaryota; Viridiplantae; Streptophyta; Magnoliopsida; Brassicales; Brassicaceae. The record is from RNAcentral.
AGGAAACAACGCAGGAAAGUUUCAACAGUAUGAAGAACACAGAUGAUGCAACAGAGAAAACAAAACCUGAGAUUCUGGAGACCGAAAACUUGUCUUCUGUCAGUGACAACACACAAGACAAAUCAUUAAAGGUAAGUGAAUGUUUCUUUGGUCUCAUCAUCCUAUUCUUUUGCAUAACUAAAUGACACAAACUCUUCCAAGUCACAAGAAAAUUCCUCCAAACAAAUAAUAUUUAUCUUCAUUUUUGCAGCAAAAAGAUGAAGUUCCAAACCAGCAGAAAGAUGAUGAUGUUCCAAAGGUAGAGAAUCUAAAGAUUGCAGAAGAAUUGCAGCAAAAAGAUGGAGAAUUUGACAAAAACAAAGAACCUGAACCAACAGUGAAAGAACCGGCAAGGAAAUCAUUAUCUGACCUCAUCCAAAAAGUGAAAGGAACAAGCAAUAUUGAAGAUAAUACAACAAAACCACAUAUCGAAGAAGAUCCCAAAACAGAGGAAGAAGAUGAGGAUGAAGAUGAGCAUAAAGAUGAUAAAACAAGUCCAGAUUCUAUUGUGAUGGUUGAAGCUAAAGAUACUGUUAGCAUUACCAAAACCAAUAACAAGAAAUCACA